GAAGGCAGAAGGAGAUGGCUAUAACAUCUAUCCCCCUUUCAAUAACAGGAGUGAUUAGGUUGAUCUUCCUGGCUAAGCAGGCAUCUUUUUCCUCCUUGCAGCUCCAUGUUUCUCUCUCCAAAAGCUGCUCUGUCCAACAGGGUGAUCUUCCCCAAUAGUCAAGGGUAUACACGUAGCUGCACUCCCCUAUUAGAACUUCCAAAUAAGGCUUCAAAAUUGUGAGCUAAAUAAAACUCAGUACCUAAGUGUUGUGUUUGCCGUU
RNAcentral lists this small nuclear RNA (262 nucleotides) under Jaculus jaculus (lesser Egyptian jerboa). RNAcentral's name for it is "7SK RNA (ENSJJAG00000008744.1)". It matches the Rfam family "7SK RNA". From Rfam's summary of the family: 7SK was discovered as an abundant small nuclear RNA in the mid-70s but a possible function has only recently been suggested. Two independent studies have found that 7SK RNA binds the CDK9/cyclin T complex (known as elongation factor P-TEFb). Lineage: Eukaryota; Metazoa; Chordata; Mammalia; Rodentia; Dipodidae. The record is from Rfam by way of RNAcentral.